AUGCACUCUGAGAAACAUCAGCAGAAGUUAAAUGCUCUUCUGCAGCAGUUGUUAAUUUUAGUUCUAAGAGACUCCAAUUCUCUGCAAUGGGGGAGUUCUUUCCAAUCCCUGACGGUGCUGCCCCCCUCCAGUGAGGAGCUGCAGCAGGGGAAGGCCACGCUCACGUGUCUGGCCAACAAGGGCUUCCCCUCAGACUGGAGUCUGUCCUGGAAGGUGGACGGCAGCAGCAGCAGCUGGGAGGAGAGCAGGAGCCCCAGGGUGCUGCAGGAGGACGGCCUCUACAGCUGGAGCAGCACCCUGAGGCUCCCUGCAGACCAGUGGAGGAAGGUGGGCUCUGUGAGCUGUGAGGCCACCCAGGGCUCCCAGACUCCACUCUCAGAGACACUGAGGAGAGACCAGUGUUCCCAGUCCUGACUCACUCACUGGGACUCUCAUACUGGUCUGACUCUGUUACUGCUCUCUGUUUGCUCUCUGUAAUUCUCUCUUUUAUAUCUUUUUUCUUUUAAUUAUUUUUUCAAACUAAACAAAUAUAGCAGUCAUAUCUUCCUCUUCAUAAUGAAACAGUUCAUGUUUU
Molecule: non-coding RNA, 574 nt
Organism: Amphiprion ocellaris (clown anemonefish)
Lineage: Eukaryota; Metazoa; Chordata; Actinopteri; Pomacentridae
Source: the annotation of a RefSeq genome assembly